Non-coding RNA from Streptomyces rimosus subsp. rimosus ATCC 10970, 69 nucleotides. The record is from Rfam. Lineage: Bacteria; Bacillati; Actinomycetota; Actinomycetes; Kitasatosporales; Streptomycetaceae.
CUUCAACGACCCGAGGUACAGCGGCAGUUCACGCUCCUGCCCGUACGUGGCCAGCAGCGCCUGCGCCUC